This 322-nucleotide ribosomal RNA is filed under the name uncultured bacterium. RNAcentral's name for it is "bacterial SSU rRNA". It matches the Rfam family "Bacterial small subunit ribosomal RNA", at positions 37 to 334 of the family's 1533-position model. The record is from RNAcentral.
GGAUCGAACGGCGUAGCUACAGGCUUAACACAUGCAAGUCGAGGGGCAGCAAGUUUUAGUUUGCUUGCAAAUUAAAGAUGGCGACCGGCGCACGGGUGAGUAACACGUAUCCAACCUGCCGAUAACUCGGGGAUAGCCUUUCGAAAGAAAGAUUAAUAUCCGAUAGCAUAUUGAGAUCGCAUGAUUUUGAUAUUAAAGAAUUUCGGUUAUCGAUGGGGAUGCGUUCCAUUAGUUUGUUGGCGGGGUAACGGCCCACCAAGACUACGAUGGAUAGGGGUUCUGAGAGGAAGGUCCCCCACAUUGGAACUGAGACACGGUCCAA